GGGGGGGGGGGGGGGGGGGGUGGGGGGGGGGGGGGCGGGCGGAGCGGGGGGGGGGGAUGCGUCGGGGGGAGGUGUGUGGGACUGAGGGGCGGACGGGGGAGGAACGCGCGGGGAACCUGCGUCAUACAGGGGGGUCACGGGUAGAAAUGACUGCUAAUACCGCAGCAGACCACAGAGCCGCAUGGCUCGGUGGGAAAAACUCCGGUGGUAUGGGAUGGACCCGCGUCUGAGUAGGUAGUUGGUGGGGUCACGGCCGACCAAGCCAACGAUCAGUAGCCGACCUGGGAGGGUGACCGGCCACAUUGGGACUGAGACACGGCCCAAACUCCUACGGGAGACAGCAGUGGGGAAUAUAGCGCAAGGGAGGCAACCCUGGUGCAGCAAAGCCGCGUGAGCAAAGAAGUGUUUCGGUAUGUAAAGCUCUAUCAGCAGGGAAGAAAAUGACAGUACCUGACUAAGAAGCACCGGCUAAAUACGUG
RNAcentral lists this ribosomal RNA (479 nucleotides) under uncultured bacterium. RNAcentral describes it as "partial 16S ribosomal RNA". The stretch from base 59 to 479 matches the Rfam family "Bacterial small subunit ribosomal RNA", at positions 39 to 507 of the family's 1533-position model. The record is from RNAcentral.